AGCUCUCUAUAAAGAGGAAUCCGAUUUCAUUGAUUGAAUAAUUCUUAAGUACAAGAGGAAAAGAAAAAAAAGUGAUAACAAAGGAAAAGUACAAAGUUAGAGGUCUCGGACCUCUGGAGCAGAAGUGCAAGAGCUCGGCACCCCCGGAAGGUCGGUCACGGCGGCUGCGGUAGUUAAGGAGGUCCCGGCUGGAGGGAGACCGGCAGCAGUUUCGGAAGGUCUGGCUUCAUCGUCGGACGCUUCAUCCAGGAAGCUGAGGUCAAGUUCGAGAAACUUCCCGACCACCUUCUCCUGGCAAAGCUCGAAGCCUUUGAUGAAGGCGGCCUGACCGAACUUGACAUUCAGAUCCCUCAUCUAGGAGGAGGUCUUGAACUCCUCCACUGCUUGGGCCCU
This 393-nucleotide long non-coding RNA is filed under the name Elaeis guineensis (African oil palm). RNAcentral describes it as "long non-coding RNA (EGUI_LNC076457)". Lineage: Eukaryota; Viridiplantae; Streptophyta; Magnoliopsida; Arecales; Arecaceae. The record is from RNAcentral.